AAAGAAGAAAAUAUUGCCACGUCUGACAGGUGCUUUACAUUCCUACUCUUUUCAGUUAAAAAGAAAUGCCGAAAGUGUGGGGUGUUGUAUAUUGUGUGAAAGUUUCGGUCUUCGUAAAUAAAAAGUAUAAAUAACAUCUCAGAUGAUAAAGUUUGAAGAAACUGUGCAAGCUCCUUAUUAAAGUGGUAUACAUAAAUUUUAGCAAUACUUUUGCCUUUUUUAAUUUAGUAUUUCUAUUGGCCGGUUUUGGAUUGUAGCUACAUACAUACAUAUAUUUUGUUUAAGGACAACAAUAAGUUUACAUUCAUAAACACUAAACAUAUCAAAAUAACUUACGAGUGGCCAUAAUGUUAAAAUUUAUGCGUGGUAAAGGUCAGCAACCAACAGCAGAAAGGCAGCGGCUGCAAAAAGAGCUAUUUUCUUAUAGGAAGAUUUUCCUUUAUAUGCUCGGCCAUGGUCACUGCAUCGUUUAAUAACCUUGUCACAUCGAUAGCAUCAGUUUUGAUAGAUAUAUGUACAUUAGACUGCAUCACUCCCCAUACAAAAAAAAUCGGUACUAUGUUUCCAUUGGAAUCAUAAAAUCUGUUAUAUUUUAUGACAUCCACCGAAAUAUUUCGGAAAAAUAUUAAGAUUUGCGUGAGCUGGACUGAUUUGAAAAUAUCUUCAAAAAUUGA
Rhagoletis zephyria (snowberry fruit fly) is the source of this 674-nucleotide long non-coding RNA. RefSeq lists it as uncharacterized. Lineage: Eukaryota; Metazoa; Arthropoda; Insecta; Diptera; Tephritidae. The record is from RefSeq and is a predicted model, not a curated record.